Molecule: ribosomal RNA, 609 nt
Filed under: uncultured bacterium
Lineage: Bacteria
Description: bacterial SSU rRNA
Rfam family: Bacterial small subunit ribosomal RNA
Source: RNAcentral
GGAAGCAGCUUGCUGCUUCGCUGACGAGUGGCGGACGGGUGAGUAAUGUCUGGGAAACUGCCUGAUGGAGGGGGAUAACUACUGGAAACGGUAGCUAAUACCGCAUAACGUCGCAAGACCAAAGAGGGGGACCUUCGGGCCUCUUGCCAUCGGAUGUGCCCAGAUGGGAUUAGCUAGUAGGUGGGGUAACGGCUCACCUAGGCGACGAUCCCUAGCUGGUCUGAGAGGAUGACCAGCCACACUGGGACUGAGACACGGUUCCAGACUCCUACUGGAGGCAGCAGUGGGGAAUAUUGCACAAUGGGCGCAAGCCUGAUGCAGCCAUGCCGCGUGUAUGAAGAAGGCCUUCGGGUUGUAAAGUACUUUCACCGGGGAGGAAGGCGAUAAGGUUAAUAACCUUGUUCGAUUGACGUUACCCGCAGAAGAAGCACCGGCUAACUCCGUGCCAGCAGCCGCGGUAAUUACGGAGGGUGCAAGCGUUAAUCGGAAUUACUGGGCGUAAAGCGCACGCAGGCGGUCUGWCAAGUCGGAUGUGAAAUCCCCGGGCUCAACCUGGGAACUGCAUUCGAAACUGGCAKGCUAGAGUCUUGUAGAGGUGGGUAGAAUUCC